CUCGUUAGAUCACCGAAGUUAAGCAUCAUUGGGCGCGGUCAGUACUUGGGUGGGUGACCACCUGGGAACACUGCGUGCCGUU
Caerostris darwini is the source of this 82-nucleotide non-coding RNA. The record is from the annotation of a GenBank genome assembly. Lineage: Eukaryota; Metazoa; Arthropoda; Arachnida; Araneae; Araneidae.